GUCAUAUGCUUGUCUCAAAGAUUAAGCCAUGCAUGUCUCAGUACAAGCCAAAUUAAGGUGAAACCGCGAAAGGCUCAUUAAAUCAGUUAUGGUUCCUUAGAUCGUACCCACAAUUACUUGGAUAACUGUGGUAAUUCUAGAGCUAAUACAUGCAAACAGAGCUCCGACCGGAGACGGAAGGAGUGCUUUUAUUAGAUCAAAACCAAUCGGUGGCGAGUUCGCUCGUCAUCGUACAACUUGGUGACUCUGAAUAACUUUACGCUGAUCGCACGGUCAUCGCACCGGCGACGCAUCUUUCAAAUGUCUGCCUUAUCAACUGUCGAUGGUAGGUUCUGCGCCUACCAUGGUUGUAACGGGUAACGGGGAAUCAGGGUUCGAUUCCGGAGAGGGAGCCUGAGAAACGGCUACCACAUCCAAGGAAGGCAGCAGGCGCGCAAAUUACCCACUCCCGGCACGGGGAGGUAGUGACGAAAAAUAACGAUACGGGACUCAUCCGAGGCCCCGUAAUCGGAAUGAGUACACUCUAAACCCUUUAACGAGGAUCAAUUGGAGGGCAAGUCUGGUGCCAGCAGCCGCGGUAAUUCCAGCUCCAAUAGCGUAUAUUAAAGUUGUUGCGGUUAAAAAGCUCGUAGUCGAAUUUGUGUCUCGCGCCGCCGGUUCAUCGUCCGCGGUGUUAACUGGCGAGUCGCGAGACGUCCUGCCGGUGGGCUUAGCUCGCGAGGGCGGCCCAACUCAAUCCUGCCGCGGUGCUCUUCAUUGAGUGUCGAGGUGGGCCGGCACGUUUACUUUGAACAAAUUAGAGUGCUUAAAGCAGGCUAAAACUUCGCCUGAAUACUGUGUGCAUGGAAUAAUGGAAUAGGACCUCGGUUCUAUUUUGUUGGUUUUCGGAACCCCGAGGUAAUGAUUAAUAGGAACGGAUGGGGGCAUUCGUAUUGCGACGUUAGAGGUGAAAUUCUUGGAUCGUCGC
This 967-nucleotide ribosomal RNA is filed under the name Trigonopterus sp. 890 AR-2022a. Its description in RNAcentral is "SSU rRNA". It matches the Rfam family "Eukaryotic small subunit ribosomal RNA", at positions 23 to 931 of the family's 1831-position model. Lineage: Eukaryota; Metazoa; Arthropoda; Insecta; Coleoptera; Curculionidae. The record is from RNAcentral. RNAcentral also lists the same sequence under 1 other name.